UACGUAGGGUGCGAGCGUUGUCCGGAAUUAUUGGGCGUAAAGAGCUUGUAGGCGGUUUGUCGCGUCUGCCGUGAAAAUCCGGGGCUCAACCCCGGACUUGCGGUGGGUACGGGCAGACUAGAGUGUGGUAGGGGAGACUGGAAUUCCUGGUGUAGCGGUGAAAUGCGCAGAUAUCAGGAGGAACACCGAUGGCGAAGGCAGGUCUCUGGGCCACUACUGACGCUGAGAAGCGAAAGCGUGGGGAGCGAGCAGG
This 253-nucleotide ribosomal RNA is filed under the name uncultured bacterium. RNAcentral's name for it is "partial 16S ribosomal RNA". It matches the Rfam family "Bacterial small subunit ribosomal RNA", at positions 524 to 776 of the family's 1533-position model. The record is from RNAcentral.